RNAcentral lists this ribosomal RNA (497 nucleotides) under uncultured bacterium. Its description in RNAcentral is "partial 16S ribosomal RNA". It matches the Rfam family "Bacterial small subunit ribosomal RNA", at positions 28 to 507 of the family's 1533-position model. The record is from RNAcentral.
GACGAACGCUGGCGGCGUGCCUAAUACAUGCAAGUUGAGCGAUGAAGAUUGGUGCUUGCACCAAUUUGAAGAGCAGCGAACGGGUGAGUAACGCGUGGGGAAUCUGCCUUUGAGCGGGAGACAACAUUUGGAAACGAAUGCUAAUACCGCAUAACAACUUUAAACAUAAGUUUUAAGUUUGAAAGAUGCAAUUGCAUCACUCAAAGAUGAUCCCGCGUUGUAUUAGCUAGUUGGUGAGGUAAAGGCUCACCAAGGCGAUGAUACAUAGCCGACCUGAGAGGGUGAGCGGCCACAUUGGGACUGAGACACGGCCCAAACGCCUACGGGAGGCAGCAGUAGGGAAUCUUCGGCAAUGGACGAAAGUCUGACCGAGCAACGCCGCGGGAGUGAAGAAGGUUGUCGGAUCGUAAAACUCUGUUGGUAGAGAAGAACGUUGGUGAGAGUGGAAAGCUCAUCAAGUGACGGUAACUACCCAGAAAGGGACGGCUAACUACGUG